GCCCUCGCGGAGCAGCCCGGAGUGCUCGCCUCGUUGUCAGCGAGGAGGCCAGGGGUUCAAAUCCCCUCGGGGGCG
This 75-nucleotide transfer RNA is filed under the name Singulisphaera sp. RNAcentral describes it as "tRNA-Asp". It matches the Rfam family "tRNA". Rfam says of the family: Transfer RNA (tRNA) molecules are approximately 80 nucleotides in length. Their secondary structure includes four short double-helical elements and three loops (D, anti-codon, and T loops). The record is from RNAcentral. Lineage: Bacteria; Pseudomonadati; Planctomycetota; Planctomycetia; Isosphaerales; Isosphaeraceae. RNAcentral also lists the same sequence under 1 other name.